UGUGCACCUCAUGGCUGGCAAUGGCCACUCCCCUACAUUCUUUCGCAUUCAUCCCCACCAACACACGCGUUUGUGUCCAACCAUGCCACGACGAAACUUAUUUCAGUACCUGUCCUCUCAUUGAUCACGUCUCUAGGAGAUGAACUCUCAGCAGCUGGUUCUCCGGCCUUACUAAAGAACCUCAUAUAGAGGGCCCUAUUUAUACAACUUGUGUGCAUCAUAAAUUUAACAUCCUCCAUUUACCUGUUGCUUUCUGAAUCAUUUCCCUUAUGUUGAUCACUAGUUUUAUACCUCAUUUAAUGUGUAAGCAUUAUAUGCCCCAUUUUUCAAAAAUUUGGCGGCGUUAACGGCGACCACAAAUGGCCGACGAUGCAAAGAGUCAGAACACGUAAAAAAAUGCUCGGAUUGACGUCAAAUUUUUCAGGGAGGUUCCUGUUAACAAAGUAAAUUAAUGGCCUCGAAAAUAAAAUUUGGUACAUUUUGGUCUGGGUGGGAAUCAAAGCCGGGCCUCCAGGAUGUGAGACGAGCACACUUCUCCAAUGCCACGGUGGCUGCAUGGUUCUGGCUGACUAAAGGUGUACCUAGUGCGUGCAUCAUUGCAUACAUCAUGUCGCAGCCAUCUGGCUGACGAAAGGUGUGGCACGUGACGGUGCAGUGAGUGGGGAGUAGGUGGCACCAUGUCAUGAGUGUAUAGGGGGGAAUGAGCGCCCUGCCUCCGGCACGUCAGUUGCUCUGAAUUUCAUCGGUGCUGUGUCUACUGUGAUGGACUGUCAACGCCAUGUCAUGAGUGUAUAAAAUGAGCCAGUAGGGGGCCAAUGUAUGUGCAAACGCACACCGAAUCAGCAGAAAGAACUUUAUUGUAUGUUGAACACAAUCAUUUGAAAACAUUUCACCAAAGGAACUAUAAUGCUUUCGCAUUCCUACACGUAAGCACCCUUAAGUGUCUCUGCCAAAUUUUUCUUUUAACACCCCUCGUAAUGAUUUGCUAUCAUUCUGGCAGGCUUGUCUUUAAUGCCAGUUGGAUAGUUUAUGCCAACAAUGGUGGGGUCCAACUCCGUUCAUCUGGCUGAGACAAGCACCUGACUCUCCUAUCAUCUUUCUUGUAUCCCUGUUCUAAUCCUUUGUCUAAUUUUUAUCCAUUAUGCAGGGUGUCCCAGCUAUCACGCAGCACGAUUUUAAAGAGAAACGGUGUUACGCGAAGCAAACCAAGUACAUAGUGUUCCCAGUACACUGGAGUAGCCACUAAUAAUUCUUUCGUUAAUGACGUUUUAUCAUGUAAUUGUAAUUAUUUAUUUAACUCGAGAAGUACUGUCAUAAUUCUUAAAGACUCAAUGAGGCGUUUGUAGGCAACCACGUGAGCCAUCUAACUGGUAUUUUCGGCGACAUACUAAUUGCGUACUCAUUUUUUCCGAGUGAUAAAGAAACCCCACGAAAUAUUAAAAAUGCCACGUGACAGCACUCCAACCCGCAUAAUAAAGCAGCGCCCUUGAACAAGCUUCCUCUGAGUUAGCCAGAAUGAAAUAAACUAAUGAAAGAAAGAAGAAAUCGUAACUGAGUUUGUACUUUAUCUGCCAUGCGCGCCCCAGCCGAAGAAACACGUCGCAUUUGGUGUUAGUUGGAAACAAGCUGCGAUAGGCUGUUGCCUUAGCGUAGAUAGUGUGCAUGGGUGGCUUUUUUUUUUCUCUGCAGAACCUGUCACCGCAGUAGCUGAUCGAUGAAAUCAGCGUAAAGGUUUAAAGGUACGUGUUGUAUCGCCCCAGUCGCCAUGUCUUAUUCUAAUGAGCAGAAGGCAAACAUGAUACUUGCCUUGGGAGCUGCAAAUGGCAACACAAGAAAGGCCGCAAAGAUUUAUCACUCAUGGAAGUGUGGCGGUAGACCCAACUCAUUGACAAUGAUUAGAAAUUAUGAAAACCUGCGAGAAACCGGCAGCUUCAAGAAACAGUGGCUGAGGACUCCAUCUUUAAGUCCUAACCUAUGCAUGGGUGUUCUGGCAUUUAUGGCCUCAAACCCUCAAGCUAGCGUGUGAGACGUGGCCGCUGAGGCACCAAUUCUGAGUCGUCAGUUUGGAGGAUAUUAAAUGACUCGGCCUUUCACCCGUACCACCUUAACCUGCACAAAUGCUUGGAAGAGAGGGACUUGCCAGAAUCGUCUAGAUUUUUCGAAUUGGUUCCUCACAAAAUCCAAUUAAUCACCAAACUUUCUUAGCGACAUCAUCUGGACAGAUAAAGCCAAUUUUUGCAGAAACGGCCAUGUAAAUCUGCAUAAUGCACAACAUUGGAAUGACUCCAAUCCACACUGGGUAAAGCGCACUCGGCACCAGUACCAGUGGUCAUUCAAUGUGUGGCAUGGAAUUUACGACGGUGGAAUAAUUGGUCCCAUUUUCUUCGAUCAGACACUGACCCGCUGUAUUCACAAACCAACCGAACCCUUCUCUUUAGUGUUCCUUACCUUAUCGGCUCCUUACCGCAUUUCAGAAAUAGACCUAGCACUCAGCGGCUCCCUUUCGCCCAACUUAAGGUCACGAAGAGGGAGCCUCCUUAAGGCAGCAUCUGAGGUAGCUGAACAGCUCCUCAUCCCAUCCAACAUGGUGGCGUGCUACGACGACAGCUUAAGCGAGUUCGUCGAUUUUGUCAACCGUGCAAAAGAAAUGGACAACAAAGCGUAGUUUUGUGCAGCCAUGGCAGCGGAACCUUGGCAAUCGCCAGAAUCCCAUGGAGUUUUACAAUAACCAGGAGUUUUUAGUGAGGUACCGCUUCUCAAAGGCUACUGUGCUCGAACUGCUGACCAUGUUGCCACUGCACCAGAACACAGAUGGACGUGGUUGCCCAGUGCUGCCACUGUUGCAACUGCUCGUGACACUUAGUUUUUACGGUGUGGGAACUUUUCAGGUUGUCUCAGGCGACCUAGUUUACGUGUCGCAGCCAACUGUUUCCCGUGUUGUCACGCGGGUGUCGACAAUGAUUGCCGCAACAUUGUUCCCUGCGCUUGUUAAGUUCCCCAACGCUGGGAAAAUGCGUGAAGUCAUGCACCAGUUUUACACCAAGGCGAAGUUUCCCAGGGUGACUGGUUGCAUUGAUUGCACCCACGUGUGUAUCAAAAGUUCAGGCAGAGACGCCGCCAAAGUAUUCCACAACAAGAAGGGAUAUUUCUCAUCCACGAUGCAGGCAAUCACAGGACCUGAACUUCAAUUUUUGGAUUUAGUUGCAAGCUGGCUGGGCUCCGCACAUGACCGCAGGAUUUUCGACAACAGCAAUGUUAAGAGUAUGUUAUGAGGAAAGGGGAUGUACCUGGCGUACUCCUCGGCGACAUGGGGCAUGCUUGCCGGCCAUACCUUAUGGCGCCGCUAAAAGAUCCUGGAGGCAAGGACAGCCUGGAGUCCAGGUACAACAAGUCCCAAAUCCGGACGAGGAACACCGUCGAAGGGGCUUUCGGCAUCUGGAAAAUACGAUUCCCAUGUCUUGAUAUGAAGCUACAAAUAGAAACGACUUCUGUCAUUGUCAUCACGGCAUGUGCAGCUCUGCACAACUUUGGCCGGAACCAUCCAAGUGAUGAACUGCUUCCCCAAUGUUCAGCAGCCCUCCCCAGCUUCACAAGCUCAAGGAGCACAGCCCUUUGACUCGGCGAGUGGGUUCAGAACUCAAGCACGGAUUAUUCAGCAAUAUUUUCCCUAAAAUGUGGCAGAGCAAAACAGGGCAUGCAUAUAGAAAAUUUAAAAAAUUGUGCCAUUUUACUUACUGACUUUUCUCACUGCGGUUAUUUUCAGCAUGAGAAGCUCGAGCUUUGCCUUCUUGCUUGUACAUUCAAGCUCAUGCAUUUGUAUUGCAUGCUUCAUAUGAAGUGCAUGCUCAGAUCUCAUGAACUUCAUCUUGAGCAGGUGCUCCCUCCUCUUUUGUUUGUUGUCUUCUUCAACACUUCUAAGGAGGUUGCUAAGCUCUUCUUCAACGGCUGCCCUCUUUGUGUGCAUUCAGCAUUGCGCAGGAGCUGGGUGUUGCCGAGUAGCCUGCAACGGGGCAGCCUGUAAUGGGGAAGCCAGUUGCGGAGAAGCCAGUUGCGGGACAGCAGGUUGCAGGUCAGCUGGUUUUAUUUCUGCCAACAGCUCGACCUCGGCUGCGGUUGCUCCAUUUUGUGUUUCUUGGAUGCAGACCGCCUGGCUGCUUUCAUCUUUAGGGCUUGCCGGGAUAUCCUACUGAUAGAUGCUAUGGUCCAACUUUUAUUUGGUCCUGCAGGG
Molecule: long non-coding RNA, 4228 nt
Organism: Dermacentor silvarum
Lineage: Eukaryota; Metazoa; Arthropoda; Arachnida; Ixodida; Ixodidae
Exons: 3
Source: RefSeq, a predicted model, not a curated record